GAUGAACGCUGGCGGCGUGCCUAAUACAUGCAAGUCGAGCGAACAGACGAGGAGCUUGCUCCUCUGACGUUAGCGGCGGACGGGUGAGUAACACGUGGAUAACCUACCUAUAAGUCUGGGAUAACUUCGGGAAACCGGAGCUAAUACCGGAUAAUAUAUUGAACCGCAUGGUUCAAUAGUGAAAGACGGUUUUGCUGUCACUUAUAGAUGGAUCCGCGCCGCAUUAGCUAGUUGGUAAGGUAACGGCUUACCAAGGCAACGAUGCGUAGCCGACCUGAGAGGGUGAUCGGCCACACCGGAACUGAGACACGGUCCAGACUCCUACGGGAGGCAGCAGUAGGGAAUCUUCCGCAAUGGGCGAAAGCCUGACGGAGCAACGCCGCGUGAGUGAUGAAGGUCUUCGGAUCGUAAAACUCUGUUAUUAGGGAAGAACAAAUGUGUAAGUAACUAUGCACGUCUUGACGGUACCUAAUCAGAAAGCCACAGCUAACUACGUG
Molecule: ribosomal RNA, 497 nt
Filed under: uncultured bacterium
Lineage: Bacteria
Description: partial 16S ribosomal RNA
Rfam family: Bacterial small subunit ribosomal RNA
Source: RNAcentral